RNAcentral lists this ribosomal RNA (253 nucleotides) under uncultured bacterium. Its description in RNAcentral is "partial 16S ribosomal RNA". It matches the Rfam family "Bacterial small subunit ribosomal RNA", at positions 524 to 776 of the family's 1533-position model. The record is from RNAcentral.
UACGUAGGUGGCAAGCGUUGUCCGGAAUUAUUGGGCGUAAAGCGCGCGCAGGUGGUUUCUUAAGUCUGAUGUGAAAGCCCACGGCUCAACCGUGGAGGGUCAUUGGAAACUGGGGAACUUGAGUGCAGGAGAGAAGAGUGGAAUUCCACGUGUAGCGGUGAAAUGCGUAGAGAUGUGGAGGAACACCAGUGGCGAAGGCGACUCUUUGGCCUGUAACUGACACUGAGGCACGAAAGCGUGGGGAGCAAACAGG